GAUGAACGCUGGCGGCGUGCCUAAUACAUGCAAGUCGAGCGAACAGAUAAGGAGCUUGCUCCUUUGACGUUAGCGGCGGACGGGUGAGUAACACGUGGGUAACCUACCUAUAAGACUGGGAUAACUUCGGGAAACCGGAGCUAAUACCGGAUAACAUUUGGAACCGCAUGGUUCUAAAGUGAAAGACGGUUUUGCUGUCACUUAUAGAUGGACCCGCGCCGUAUUAGCUAGUUGGUAAGGUAACGGCUUACCAAGGCAACGAUGCGUAGCCGACCUGAGAGGGUGAUCGGCCACACUGGAACUGAGACACGGUCCAGACUCCUACGGGAGGCAGCAGUAGGGAAUCUUCCGCAAUGGGCGAAAGCCUGACGGAGCAACGCCGCGUGAGUGAUGAAGGUGUUCGGCUCGUAAAACUCUGUUAUUAGGGAAGAACAUACGUGUAAGUAACUGUGCACGUCUUGACGGUACCUAAUCAGAAAGCCACGGCUAACUACGUG
Molecule: ribosomal RNA, 497 nt
Filed under: uncultured bacterium
Lineage: Bacteria
Description: partial 16S ribosomal RNA
Rfam family: Bacterial small subunit ribosomal RNA
Source: RNAcentral